This 239-nucleotide ribosomal RNA is filed under the name uncultured bacterium. Its description in RNAcentral is "partial 16S ribosomal RNA". It matches the Rfam family "Bacterial small subunit ribosomal RNA", at positions 28 to 258 of the family's 1533-position model. The record is from RNAcentral.
GACGAACGCUGGCGGCGUGCUUAACACAUGCAAGUCGAGCGGUAAGGCCUUUCGGGGUACACGAGCGGCGAACGGGUGAGUAACACGUGGGUGACCUGCCCUUCACUUCGGGAUAAGCCUGGGAAACUGGGUCUAAUACCGGAUAUGACCUUCUGGUGCAUGCUGGUUGGUGGAAAGUCGGUGUCGUAAGGUGCCGGCGGUGGGGAGUGGGCCGCGGUCUAUCAGCUUGUUGGUGGGGU